UGUUAAAAAUUUUAUCCAUUUGUACUAUUAAAAAUUAGCAUUACUGAUGGAAUAACUAGACAGUUACAUGCGGCGUGUCACAUGUACCUCAUGUUGAUGUAUAAUAACUACCUUUUAAUAUUAGAAAUAAGUUAAUUUUUAACA
Molecule: non-coding RNA, 144 nt
Organism: Gossypium raimondii (Peruvian cotton)
Lineage: Eukaryota; Viridiplantae; Streptophyta; Magnoliopsida; Malvales; Malvaceae
Source: Rfam